UUAAAGACAUAAAUUUAAAUAUCUUGCCGGGGCACUACGAACACAUGUUUAAAACCCAAAGGACUUGGCGGUGCUAUAAUCCAACUAGGGGAACCUGUCCCUUAAUUCGAUAACCCACGAAAAUCUUACUUGCCUUAGAUGUUAUUAUCAGCUUAUAUACCGUCGUCUAGCCGGCCUUAGCGAGAGAUAAAAAGCUGGCAAAAAAGGUUUUUCCCUAAUAAGACAGAUAAAGGUGUAGCCAAUAGGUAAGGGAAGGAUGUGUUACAAUUAAUAAUUUGAUAAUGGAAUUCUAAUGAAAUUUUAGGAGGAAAGAGGACUUAGAAGUAAUCUUGUAGUAAACACUGGAAA
RNAcentral lists this ribosomal RNA (348 nucleotides) under Cymbula oculus. RNAcentral describes it as "partial 12S ribosomal RNA". It matches the Rfam family "Bacterial small subunit ribosomal RNA", at positions 875 to 1360 of the family's 1533-position model. The record is from RNAcentral. Lineage: Eukaryota; Metazoa; Mollusca; Gastropoda; Patellidae.